GCCGUAAUAAUUAUUUUUUUAAAAAAAAUGCAUACAUUAAACAUAUUGAAUAGGUCGAAAAUUAUUUCAAGCGGCAAAUCAUCGUGGGGGACACGUUGCGGAUACCUAUAAUGCACCGUUACAAUAAUAUUAUUGUGUAUUGUUUCGAAUACCUAUUAUACUCCUGAAAUAGGUGUCGGUUUUUAUACGGGCAGGUGUGCUCAAAGAAUACUGUACAGG
Non-coding RNA from Cinara cedri, 219 nucleotides. NCBI's taxonomy places the organism in Eukaryota, Metazoa, Arthropoda, Insecta, Hemiptera, Aphididae. The record is from the annotation of a GenBank genome assembly.